This is a long non-coding RNA of Dalotia coriaria, 623 nucleotides long. RefSeq lists it as uncharacterized. Lineage: Eukaryota; Metazoa; Arthropoda; Insecta; Coleoptera; Staphylinidae. The record is from RefSeq and is a predicted model, not a curated record. The transcript has 2 exons.
GAAUAUUCCAUUGAGGUUGUAAAAUAGCGGGUAACUCUCUUUUUUUGAAUAUUAAUUGAGCCGUUUAUUUUGAAAGUGACCUAACUCCGUUUUUCAAUUUUUUACCGGUUACCAUGGUUACAUGUACAACUUCAUGUUAUUUAUCAGUGACACAAGUCAGAUUGCUUAUAUUCAGAGAAAAUACGGUACAUUUUUUACACAUAGGUUUUCCGAAUUAAUUGAAUAACUGACCCGUGUGGUUUGAAAGUGGCCUAACUCCAUUUAGAGUUACAUCAAGGUAUUUACUAUUGAUAAUAACGGAAAGCAGCGAUGAAGAAAUUAUUGCACCCAUGAGGAAGAACUGGAGAAGACCACUUAGUUCAGAUAGUGAAGAAGAAAUAGUAAUUAAUAAUUUAAAAAAAGCGAAUAAGAAAAAGAGUUAUAAAACAAUAUUCCUCGUCAGAGGAUGAAGAUUCAAAUAACAAUGGAGAAAAGAUUGAUGCACCAUAUAUCCAAAAAGUGCGAAAGAUAAAACGGAAUUCAGGAAAAAGAUAUUGCAGUUAAACCGGAAGUAUUGUUCAUGAAAAAAAUUUCGAAACAAAGAUUGUGGUUGUCGGAAUGCGUGCACAAAAAAUUAUAAUGAA